Molecule: long non-coding RNA, 4138 nt
Organism: Dermochelys coriacea (leatherback sea turtle)
Lineage: Eukaryota; Metazoa; Chordata; Testudines; Dermochelyidae
Exons: 2
Source: RefSeq, a predicted model, not a curated record
AAGAGGGUUCUUUGCAUGUUAUGGGAGAAUUUCCUAACCACUAAACUGGGGUUACUCUGAGAGAGGUCUCCCUCAGUGAGUCUUAGUAAAGCUGUUCUGCUGUGUAGAUAGUCAUUGGAUAAUGGAGAGUAGGCCCUUCCUUCUAACUCAGGUGUGGGUGCCCUGAACAUCGGGCUGAAAAGUCAUUGGGCUAGAGAGUAUCUUACAUUCAAACAGUUUCAGGCAUGCUGGGUGGAGAGUGCCCUUCUCCCCUGUAGAGCAGUGGGGCUUAGGUAGGAUCCACGUGUUCAGACACCUAGUGAUGCUGCAGUGCAUAUGCUUAGAGCCAGAAAGUUAGGUGCCUAAGAAAUUUUUGCAGCACAAAUUUAGGUGUCAAGUGAUGUUAGGCACUAGCUGAGCAGGGGUUUUGUGGAUUCCAGUGGGGCCUAAAUCUGAUGUUUAGGUACUUUGCUAUCUUUGGGCAUCUGAUCCUUCAGUGCCUAGCACAAAGCUUGAUGAUGGGGCUUUGUGUUGGGAAAAAUGUUGUCCUCAGACGUUAUCCAUUAAAGUGAUACAUUCCCAGAGUGAAGGUGGAAACUUAGAAAUGGAUUUGGUAGAGUCUAGGUAGAAAUAACACUGAGUAAGAAGCAAAUGGAAAUAAGACAUUGCAUCAAAUGCCAAUGGCCUUUGUUUUCCUCAAUUGGUCUGUGGCAGACUGCCUGUUCCAUUCUUUAGUCUAGUUAAGCUAUUCCAUUCUUUAGUCCAGCAGUUUUUGAAGCUUGGGGCUAAGGCCAAAAUCAUUUUCACCCCCUUCCCACCUCAGAAAAGUCACUGGGCAACUCCUGGGACCUACAGCAGGAAAGUCACACUCAUGCAGGGGUGAGAAUUUCAUUUUCCAUUAUGGGCCAUGCGCUGGAAUAUAAAUUUGCUAUAUACUCCCUUUAACUCCAAAGCAGUAUUUCUGUUGAUGUUAGGGGGAGGUUUGCAGAGAGAUAAACUACACCAAAAAAAGGCCCUUAUGUAAUUAAACUUACUUACCCUGAUCUGUACAGUACUUCAUUGCUGUACUCGACAUUAAACAAAACUUACUGUUAGAACAAAUGCUUUUUCUGCCAUUUGUUUCUCUUCCUUCCCUAUCUUCCCCCCUCUGCAUUUUCUUCCUUUCCUACCCCUUAAAAUUAAAUACUGCAUUAAAGUGUCAUCAGGGGGCUUUUUGAGCUAGUUCAUCUGGACUAAUUGGGGCAUGGAAUCCACCCUUUUAAAGGUAUGCUGCAUGUCUGAACUAUACACAUCUUAUGGCAGCAUGUGAACUAGCAUAAUUAGGAGUGUAGAUAGUGAGGCACUGCUUAGGGGAGUGAAGAUGCACCUGAAUACUGUAGGUAUGUGGCUUGCAUAGCCAAUCAGUACUUCACCUGCCUGCACACUGUUAGCAUAGUAUCCUGCUGCCAGAGCCUUUUCCCUGCUACAGUGAAAGGCAUUGGCAAAACAGAGCCUCUCACAGAUCCCUGCUGCCAGAACUUCUCAGAGAGAGUAGCUACAUCUGCAGUAUGGAUGCAGCUUUUCUCUGCAUCGUGUAUCUCGACAUAUUCUACAUGCUGCCACAAUAUAUGGAGUGUAGCCAUAGCCUACGAGCCAUCAUUUCAGGCUGCCUGCAAGCUCAGGAAGACAACAUUGUGUUGAUGUAGCGAUUUCAUAUUUGGGAAGUUUUCUUUGCAACCAGGAGAGGUAUAACCAGUUUAAAAAAACCCCCAAAACUUAGUUUCUGCAGAAUUUGAAUGUCAGGUGUGCUGAGUGUAACUUCCCAUAGGUAAGGGAUGAAAGAGCUUACUAGUCCUUAAGGUGCCACAAGUACUCCUUUUCUUUUUGCAAAUACAGACUAACACAGCUGCUACUCUGAAACCUACAUUUUCCUGCAGUUCUUCCCUUCCUCUGAUGUCUCUCUCCUACAACUGCUCAACACCAAGUGAAAUAUGGAGACAAUAAGCCUGUAGAACUCGGGCAGCUCUGCAAUUUAUUUACUUGUGAGCUGCAAGGGACUGGGGAGGACUGAUAUGCUGCAGCAGGAGUGAGUCCUCUCCCUUCUGAUAAUCCUCUGCAGCACUUCCACAUGUCCUCUACCUUGCAUUGCCUUCCCACUCCCAUCUUCAGUAUACCCAUCACCUAUAGGGCUGUUUCUGACUGUAACCUCAGUCUUUUAGUCAGAGCAACAAUCAGUGCUGGUUUUGUGAUUCUAGAUGGAGGAUAGUUGAGGUUAAGUCAUUCUAGCUCUGGAAGGAGGCUAACAGGACCGGAAUAUGAUAACUAUUCAGCUUCUAACUGAAUAAAGGGUGAAAGUUUGGGGAAUUCAAAAUAAAUCUUUUGCUUAUCUUGUAAGAUUCCUAAAGAGGGAGAAAGCAGCUGAAAUAUAUGUAAUAUGUUAAAUGAAUUUAAUUGUCAUAUUAACGCAAGAUAAUUCUCACCAAUUUUAGCUGCUUCCUGGUUUCUGUACUAGAGUGAGUGACAUCACAAGUACCAGAAACAAAAUUUUGAAGGAAACAUUCCAUCCUUAAACCCCAUUUUCUUCAUUUGCUUUAAUUUGUAAGAUCACUCCAGGAGAUAAAUUAAGAACUCCUGCUCUUUGCAUUCUAUAGGAAAGGGGUGUAAUUUUGUUAAAAGACAGAGCAAUACAAGUUUGUAAAUAACUAUAUUUUACUCUAAUCAAACAUGCACAAUUAACUUUUUUAAAAAUACAAGUUUUGCUAAUAAAGCAAUUUACAUUUAAAACAAUUGUUACUGCCAGUAUGCUUUGUCUGCUGUAUCCUAAACUGCAUUUCUUUUAUGUGGUCUGGUUUGAAUCUGACUCUUCUAUUUGGGGAAAUACUAUCUUCAAUUCCAAAGAACAGAAUGAAGAAACAUUAACUGUUAAAUUGUUGGUCUGACACUGAGGGGACAUUGGUUAGAAAGAACUAAUGCUUCCUAUUGCACACAUCCUUCACAUAAGCUAAGGGCAGACUAGACACUAAACAUUUAGUGGGCAAGAUCAAGUUAACCCAUGAGAAUAUAAAAUUUUAAAAUGGUAAUACUAUAGCAGAUACUCACCAUGAUAAGUUUAAUUGCAAAAAUCCUUUUAUGGGGAGCCAUGCCUGGAUUCUUAAGAGUUAAAUGGAGGUGCUUCUGACAAAAAAGUAGAUUCUCCUGUAAGUUCUGAUGGUAGUGAAAAUACUGAAAAGGGCUACAAAAGAGGCAAAAAAAUUGUGUUCAGGUAUCCUGUCCAAGAAAGUUUUGAAAUCUAUUUAAAUUUCUGCAUUUAACAACUUAUUAUUGAUCUGGAAUUGACCUAUAUCAACCUAAUGACCUGAUCCAACUCCUAAUAGAAAUCAUUUGGGCCUUGAGCCUCUUUAUUUCUGGUUUAUGUUUUAUAAAGUACAUGCUUAUUUGAUAGCUGAUAAGGAGGGCAUUCAUUAUGGUGUAAACUAGCAUUGUGUUUCCCCUGUUUUCUAUCUAGAUGUAAAACCAUAGCUCAGAAUGGGAAUCCUAAGGUCACUUCUUAACUUUCAUGUGCCACAAGUACUCCUGUUCUUUUUGCAGAUACAGACUAACAUGGCUGCUAUUUGAAAAAUAACAAAGUACAUAACACUUACAUACAACUGCAAAUGUACAGCUUUAAAAAUAAGGGCCAAAUUCUGCCACCCUGAUGCACAUUGAGUAGUGCCGUACAUCAUGAAUAGUCCCAUGGAUUGCAGUGACACUAAUUCCAGAGGAAGGUUCUUCUCAACAUGAGGAGUUACAUACAGUAAGAUGUUCGCUACUCAGAAGCGUUUACAGUCCUUUGGGUCAAUGGAAGAUUUGCUGUGAUUGAAUUUUAACUUCAAUAUACUUUGUAAAGUAAGCCUAGCUAAACUAGGAAAGUUGUAUGAAGUCACUGAAUAUGUUUUCUGAUUAAUAUCUGCAUGCAAUAUGGAGAGCAACAAAACCACCAAUAAAGAGCAACUGGCAUUUCUUCGAGUGGCUUUGCAUAUUCCCAUUUCUGGGUAAUGCACCGCCUGGUGCAGUCAUCUCAAAGAACUUGGGUUACAAGUAAGUAACACUCAUUUUCUUUCAAGUUUUGUAUCUAAUAGUUCCAGAACCCAACAUUUAAAUAAAAUAAAUUCCUUUAAAAAAAUACAACUUUAUCACUUCA